RNAcentral lists this unclassified non-coding RNA (3556 nucleotides) under Leishmania donovani. RNAcentral's name for it is "gene:LdHU3.27.0950(CDS-product:reductase_putative )". Lineage: Eukaryota; Euglenozoa; Kinetoplastea; Trypanosomatida; Trypanosomatidae. The record is from RNAcentral.
AAAACAGGGCUCACGCGCGUUCCACGGGCACACGAACAAGCGCGCAUACAUCCGCGGCUGUUGGCCCACGCUAUCGUCAAGGACGUGAAGGGCAAAAAAAAAGCUAAACAGCGAUGCGCUUUGCGGUCUCGUGCGUGGCGGGUGUCGUGGGAGCGUGGGUGUGGCGGCGGUCUUCGGGCCAGGAUGCGGAGUGCUACCGCGGCAUUCAAAACGCGCUCACAUUCCACAAUCCAGACCGCAAAGGGCGGGUCUUCAGCCAACGCUAUGAACCGUACCAGCUGGGUGAGAUCAUCCCUAUCACCGCAGACGUAGCCCUCUUCCGCUUCCUGUUACAUCAUAGCGAGGAUGAGUUUAACCUGAGGCCCUGCUCGACACUGCAGGCGUGCUACAAGUACGGCGUGCAGCCGAAGGACCAGUGCCAACGCUUCUACACGCCCGUGACGGCAAACCACACAGCGGGCUAUUUCGACCUAAUCGUAAAACGCAAGAAGGAUGGUCUUAUGACAAAUCACCUGUUCGGCAUGCAUGUCGGUGAUACGCUGCUCUUCCGUAGUGUCGCCUUCAAAAUCCAAUACCGCCCGAACCGAUGGAAACACGUGGGCAUGAUCGGCGGCGGCACCGGCUUCACUCCAUUUCUGCAGAUCAUCCGACACGCCUUGACGGAGCCAGUGGAUAGCAAGGAGGCGGACAGGACGAAACUGUCCUUCCUGUUCUGCAACCGCACCGAGCGGCACAUCCUCCUCGGUGGCGUCUUCGAUGACCUUGCGAGGCGCUACCCGCACCGCUUCCGCAUGUUCUACACGAUCGAUCUGGCCGUUGACAAGGGCAAGUGGUUAGAGCAGGAAAACCACUUUUUGGGAUACGUAACAACCGACAUGAUCCGCCGCAGCAUGCCGGCGCCGGAGGAGAAGAACAAGAUCAUCAUGCUAUGCGGACCAGACCCGCUGCUGUCGCACGUGGCCGGCACACCGAUGUCAACGAUGUCCUCCAUGUCGGGUAGCCUGAACAUCCAGCCCAUGGCAACCGACAUCAACAAUCUCGUCAGCCUCGGUGGCCUUUUGAAAGAGCUCGGCUACGAUAACACAGACGUGUAUCGCUUCUAGAGGGGCGCGCAAGUGGUACCGUCACGGCGAACGUUGCGCGGGUGCAACAUGCGUUUGUGCCUCCUCAGCGGCUACGUUGUCUGUUCACAUCCGCGCUUGUGUGCGCUCACGGGAAAUUCAACGGAAAGCCACGCACUCCUGCGUGCGCGCGCAUCACACUUGCACACGUUGUCCCUGAUGGGAUCGUCGUGCAGGCGGGCGGCUAGAGGGAGCCCAUAUGUCGCAUCUUUCUCCCCGCGAAAACGAUUGCCUAUCGCCCUUGUCGUUGCACGCUCCUUCUGCUGCUACCGCGUAGACGACGCGAAAGAAACGCGGAGAGCACGACGACUGGCCAGCGUCGCGCCAUGCAAUUAGGUGACUGGGAAGGAGGUGGGGAGGGGGCUGAUGCGCAGGGUCGACGAGCGCUCUCGCGCGUCACAGCACGCAACUCCUUGAAAGCCCUGCCUUUGCCUGUCGCCCUCAUCUGGGCUUCAUGAAUACACUGCCGCAGCUGUGCAGUGUUACAGGUAAACGCCUAAGAGGAUGGAGAGAGGUGCCGCACCUCGCUGCUCUGCGCUGCCCUCCCCUCUUCCGCAGCCAGUCAGUGAGAUCACUUCCUCAGUGCGCUGAAAAAAAAGGCGAAGAGGUAUGCAUGGAUGACGUGCCCCCGCAUGGUCGAAUGGACACCCCAGAUCGUGUACGCCGCGUUGGCGUCCCCCUCGCACACAUGCCGGACUGGCCCCUACAUUGUUGUGAUGCGAAUAUGCUCGCAUCUCAUCUGCGCAUCUGCUGGUCAUCCUGAAUAAAGACGCCUUCGUUUUGAGGCUCGCUGAGUUUGAUGAGGACUAGAUGCCCUUCAAUCAGGGCGGCAUCACGGAGGUCUCUUUAAGGGCCCCCCUAUAGGGAAGCCCCGACGUGUCGCGUUGCCGCACCCCAACGCAGUCAUUAUGCAAUUCUUGCGAAGCCACGGAAAUCGCCCCGGCGCGUGCAUUAAGCAGCUCGCAGAGGGGAGCACAGGACGUACCUACCGGUGCCCCCUCCAUGGAUUUUCGGCCCGGGGAGGAAGAAAAGACGAGCGAAGAGAGCCGCCACCUUGUCUUGGAACGAGCUGAAGGUGAUCGGGGAGUCCCCAGCCCCACAUCGCCCUCCACGAGCUCCGGACUCGAGCUCCAGCACACCGAAGACAACGUGAGGAUUCUCAUCAGCGUUUCCUCGGCGGCGUACAAGACGCUGGCCAGUGGCGUCGGGUCCGUUUGGGAAUUCCGCUUUAUCUUAGGAGAGGUGAGAGCUGAGAUUGCCAUACGUGGCACUAAGUUUACGGACGCCACGGAGCCUCUGCUGCCGUGUAAAGCGGGCAUGCGCUGCUGCGGCUAUUGUCACGGCCGUUAGCCACGCGUACAGCACAGCCGAAGGUUGUGUUGGCGGAUGCUGGGGGGGGGGGAGUGUCGGGCAGCGCAUGCAAGGCAUUCGGGGGCACCACCACGUGGCGGCAGAUACCCAGCCUGUGGCCCCGCGUAGCCCCAUAUCCGCGAUUGCCAGCGAUCCUCCGCCGAAGGAGCACACACAGCAGCGUCGUUCGCAUCAUGCGAUGGAAGCGUAGGUGCAGGCAAGGCACACGUGCGCUGGCCACAUCAUCAGCAUCUUCAGGAGGCUUGUCCAAGCGUCAUCACGUUGUCACGCUAAUGGACACAGCGCUUAGAGCGGAUGGCAAACGAGCUCUGCUCUCCAACGGGUGAGGCGGGGGAAGCGAAAACCGACGUGCUCCCGAUGUGCCGCAGCACACAGCCUGCCCCCUCCCCCCUAGUGCGUUGUCUGCUGCUGCUCGGGUGGAAAACAGCGAGUCGAUGACACAGGGUCCAGCGUCUUGAACCACGGAGCAUUUGCCACCUGACCGAGUCGCACAUGUUGGGCGACAUCGCCCAUGGCAGGCCACGAAAAUGGGGAUGGAACCCCCAACCCGAUAAUUUAACUGCUUCUCCCUCCUCCGCUCAUUCUCUCUCUGAUAUCAUGCUCGCGAGGGGCACGGCAUACACACACGCACACACAUUCAUGCGUGCGUUGCAAAAUCGACGACGUCAACGUGCAUACACUUGGGUGCGAGGUAAAGCUGUUCCUUCGCGAACGUCGAAAGCACUAGUGAGGUGUGUCGUUUUGAGCCACGAUAUUGCUUGAUUUAGGUCUUCUGCCGCAGUGCAUCACAGGAAGGCGGGGGCGGGGGUGUGAAAGUCGAUUAGAUUGCGAAACGGGGGUGCACCAGCACCACACUCAGUGAACAGCACGCACCGAGUGCAGAGGCCGUGGUCAGCGACGGCGGUGCGGCGAUCUUUGCGUAGGGGAGGUAAAAGCAGCUCAAUCGUGACCGAGCCAGUGCGUCACGUGAACAGAGAGCGAAGGCACCACCCGCGCCUAUUCGUCUGCUAUCCCUUUUCUCUCUCUCUCGUCCCCUCUCUCCUGCCCUCACGCUUUUCGACUAG